CAACUUGGCUGAGACAGUUCUACAGCAAAAAAAAAAAAAAAAAAAAAAAAAAAUCACUGUCAUCGAAAUCGCCUGCGAUUCUUUUCUUUCCCUUGGGUUUCAGGAGACUUUCAUUCCAUCAUAACGACGUUCCUGGGAACAUCCCCUCUUCUGCUCAGUUUCGCCCUCCGGAUGUGGGUGGAUGGGCGUCAAGCGGUGUACCUCCACCAUUUGGCAUCAGUGGUAAAAUUAUGACCGUAGGUGGUGAGAGGUGGACGGAGGGGUGGGCGCUGUUCCUGGGUUCUGCAAUGGAUGCUGAUGUUUUGGGAAAAAAAAAAAAAAAAAAAAAAAAGAAAUGCUGUGCUGAAGGGACGCUGUCAGGUCGGAUGUGUGCUCGCCUCCUCCCCAGAGCUUUCAGAACCCUUUGGUUCCCAUCGUGCUGCGCUGUGUGUCCAGAGCAGUUCGGGAUGUGAACAUGUGCUGGGGUGGGCACAGCCAUGUCCUUCCUAAACCUGGUUCUUGUUCCAAGUCUGGCUUUGGUUUGGUCCCCACAGGGGCGUUUUGGACAGUUGGGGACAUUACGGUGCUCUGAGCCCUCUGUGCCACCACCUGCACUGCAUCUGUAUCCCUGGGUUGCAUUGGAGCCCCAUGGUUGCAUUGGAGCCCAAUGGUUGCGUCAGAGCCCCAAUGGUUGUGUCAGAUCUCCAUGGUUGCAUUGAAGUCUAAUGGUUUGUUGGAGCCCCAUGGUUGCAUUGGAGCCCCAGUGGUUGUGUUGCAGCCCCGGUGAUUGCAUUGGAGCCCCAUGGUUGCAAUGGAGUCCCAAUGGUUGCAUCGGAGCUGUCAUGGUUGCAUCAGAGCCCCAUGGUUGCAUUGAACUCUCAUGGUUCUUUGGAGCCUCAAUUGUUGCAUUGGAGCCCCAAUGAUUGCGUUGGAGCCCCAGUUGAUGUGUUGGAGCCUGAUGAUUGCGUUGGAGCCCCAUGGUUUCAUCAGAGCUCCGUAGAUGCGUUGAAGUUUUAUGGUUCGUUGGAGCCCCAAUGGUUGCGUUGGAGCCCCAAUUGUUGCCUUGGAGCCAAUGGUUCGUUGGAGCCGCAUGGUUGCCGUGGAACUCCAAUGGUUGUGUUGAAGCCCAGUGGUUGUGUUGGAGUCCAGUGGUUGCAUUCGAGCCCCAGUGGUUGUGCUGGAGCCCAAGAGUACAUUGAAGCCCAAUGGUUGCAUAGAAGCCCAGUGGUUGCAUUGGAGCUGCACGUUCUGCCACGUUCUCCUGCUGAUGGGAAUAGAGUGGUUGGGUUGUGGGGCUCCAACCACCGUUCUGGGGGGCGUUUGGAUGUGUUCACUUUGGUACCGGCGGGGCUGGAGCAGGAAAUGUGAUGGCUUAAGUGCUUCCCCGGCUGAGCACCCGGAGGCCGCGUUGUUAGUUGAGUGACUAUAGUCGUUCUUGGCUGAGUGAAGUCUGUUCGUGGUAAUGUGAGCAAGUUUUUGGUCAAUGUCUUUCUUUGAUGCCAGGUUGUGAAGAGGUGGGUGGGAGCGGGGAGGGGGGAAGGAGAGAUCUGGGGGCGGGGGGAACCCGUGCUAGCACUGACCCUGGGGAAUGGGGAGGGGGGGAGGCGAGGGGCUCCUUGGCUGCUCCUUUUAUCUCUCCCCGUCCCCUAGCAAGCAGAAACGAUGUAAAAGCCUCCUGCAUGCUGGAAAAAAAAAAAACAGUAGAGAAAAUGGAAAAAAAAAAAAAAAAAAAGAAAGAAAAAAAAAGGAAAAAAAAAAAGAAACGACCUUUCUUAAAAAAAUAAUAAUAAUAAUAAUUAAAAUUUAAGAAUAAAAUAAAAUACGUAAAGGAAUGACGACCCAAACAAACAUCCGCGCUUGCUGGUGGGAACCAGGGGCUCCGUCUGUCCCGGGGGGUUCCUGCUCGAAUCUCCGAGUUGGCCUUGAAUAAAACCUUCAGUUCCAAUAACCUUUAUAUAUAUAUAUAUAUGCAUAUCUAUAUACAUAUACAUAUAUAUCGAAAGAAAGCUUGAUGUAGCAGUUCUAGUUUGAAAUGAAUAGAAGUCGUUGGGCCCCCAGUUUUGUGUUGGGUUCUCCUGCCCCCCCCCUGCCCCCCACCCCCUCCCUCUUUUCGAUGUAGCAGCUGUGCAAGAAAGGAAUCCAGGCGCUGUAGUGCACCGCAAUACCUCUGGCCCCGGGGGGGGAGGGGACACCCCAAUUGCAGGGGCUUCGACAACAAAAUUUUCCUACUUUUUUUUUUUUUUUGUCUCUUUUUUUUUUUAAAUAUAUGUAUAUAUAUAAUUAAAAAAAAAAACUAAAAAAAAAAAAC
Molecule: long non-coding RNA, 2287 nt
Filed under: Gallus gallus (chicken)
Lineage: Eukaryota; Metazoa; Chordata; Aves; Galliformes; Phasianidae
Description: lncRNA (ENSGALG00010028807.1)
Source: RNAcentral